CAGAAAAUAGUUUAAGUAAAAUACAAACUUUGGGAGUUUGAGAUAUAGAUUUCUAUUUUUCUGA
This 64-nucleotide transfer RNA is filed under the name Diaphanosoma excisum. RNAcentral describes it as "tRNA-Pro". It matches the Rfam family "tRNA". From Rfam's summary of the family: Transfer RNA (tRNA) molecules are approximately 80 nucleotides in length. Their secondary structure includes four short double-helical elements and three loops (D, anti-codon, and T loops). The record is from RNAcentral. Lineage: Eukaryota; Metazoa; Arthropoda; Branchiopoda; Diplostraca; Sididae.